Molecule: ribosomal RNA, 253 nt
Filed under: uncultured bacterium
Lineage: Bacteria
Description: partial 16S ribosomal RNA
Rfam family: Bacterial small subunit ribosomal RNA
Source: RNAcentral
UACAGAGAUGGCAAGCGUUGUUCGGAAUCACUGGGCAUAAAGGGCACGUAGGCGGGUCAGUAAGUCAGGUGUGAAAUCCCUCGGCUCAACCGAGGAACUGCGCCUGAAACUGCUGGUCUUGAGGACAGGAGGGGAGAGUGGAACUCUUGGUGGAGCGGUGAAAUGCGUAGAUACCAAGAGGAACGCCGGUGGCGAAAGCGACUCUCUGGCCUGUUUCUGACGCUGAGGUGCGAAAGCUAGGGGAGCAAGCAGG